UUGAAUUUGGUAUCGGUUACCUUACAUUGCACGAAGUGAGAGAGAAGGCAUUUUGCUAGCAGCAUCUAUUUCAUCUAGGAAUACGGUAUUCACCCUCUGCCUCUAAACCUAGGUCAAAAUUCCUUUAGAAUAAUUCAUCUUUCAUAAAAGAUGCGUUCCCUUUCGCCUAUGGAAAUCUUGUGCGUUCUGGGCACGGCUUCCCGCUGUACAGACAAAUGCACUCAUUGUCUAGACCACGCCGGUCCCCCUGGAUUUUAUGCAGCGUGCAUUUCCUGCACUGAGCUGCUUGCUCGCUGCAGGCGUGCUUCCCUCGUCCCCCUGCCCCCGCCCGGAUCCAAAGCUUUUGUUUCUAACGUUUUCUCUCGACGCUAUUAAAAUGCUUGGGAACAUCGUUACCAAAUAAGUGACUGACUAGGAACUUUUCCGGCUGUUAACCUUUAGGCCAACGUCCAGUAAAGUUCUGAAAAGCAACUAAACCUCGUGUAAAGGGGCCAAGCCACAUGGAAACAACGGAAACGUGUAUAUUAUUGCCUAAACUUGCCGGGGGGACAUUUGGGUUUUUCUUAGAGCAAUGCUUUGCAGUGGCCCCAAGGGCGCUGCAAGAGGCAGCAGCACUCGCUCCCGCAGCGGCGAGGAGGUGGGGUGCGGGUGAGGGGCAGGGGACCCCCCGGGAGCCGAGAUGACCGGGGCCUCCUGGCGGCGACGCUCUGGCCCGCGCGCGCUCGAUGGUUCCGCGCGGCAGCCCGGGCCUGCGCGGUCCCGUCGCCAGGGGGCGCGCUGGCGGGCGCCGCGGAUCUCCGAGCUGCGCGGCCCGACUCGUGUCCGCCAUAUUGGAUGCCGCAGCCGCUGCUGCCAGCGCUUCCUCCUCCGUCUUCGCCGUGCGCUGCUCGUUCCUACGGCCCGAGCGGCGGGGAGGUGAAACAGGAGCCUGUCGGAGGAAGAGGAAGAAGGGGGUGGAGAGUGUAGGGGACCGGGCUAGGGGGUGGAAGCCCGAGACCGAGCGGGGCGGAGAAGAGAAGGCGCCCAGCCCCUCCCCCGCCCGCUGCCAGCCAGCCCCGGCAGCGCCUCUGUUCCCCGGACCGGCGCUCCGCCCGCCCUAUCGGCCAUGCCGGGGCCUCGCUGCCCCUAAGGGAACCCUGCCCCGCCGGUGCUUGCCCUUCCCCUCCUGCCCGGGGUCGCAGCGGCCCGGCCUCCCGCCGGCGCCCCCUCCUCGCAGCCGCGUCGCCGCCCCCGUCUAGUUCUCCCCACCCAGUGCAGUGGCCGCCGCCUCUUCCGCCGCCGGGCUCUGGGCCUCCGCACCGACAACAUGGAGGCUGUGAAAACCUUCAAUAGCGAGUUGUAUUCCCUGAAUGACUACAAGCCACCCAUUUCUAAAGCGAAAAUGACCCAAAUUACUAAAGCAGCCAUCAAAGCUAUUAAGUUCUAUAAACAUGUGGUACAGAGUGUUGAGAAAUUCAUUCAGAAAUGUAAACCAGAAUACAAGGUACCUGGACUUUAUGUUAUUGACUCUAUUGUACGACAAUCUCGACAUCAGUUUGGUCAAGAAAAGGAUGUGUUUGCACCCAGAUUUAGUAAUAACAUCAUUAGCACUUUCCAGAAUUUAUAUCGUUGCCCUGGAGACGACAAGAGUAAAAUAGUGAGAGUAUUAAACUUAUGGCAGAAGAAUAAUGUAUUUAAAAGUGAGAUUAUUCAACCUCUUUUGGAUAUGGCAGCGGGGAUUCCUCCUCCAGUUGUCACACCUGUUUUGGCCAGUACUACUGCUGCUAUGAGCAAUACCCCAGGAACUCCUGUGACACCUGUUACUCCAGCCAAUGUGGUCCAAGGUUUACCUGAUCCGUGGGUGUCUCAGAUAACAAAUACAGAUACACUUGCAGCUGUAGCUCAGAUCUUACAAAGUCCUCAAGGCCAACAGCUUCAGCAGUUAAUACAGACUUUACAGAUACAGCAGCAGAAGCCUCAGCCUUCCAUCUUGCAAGCCCUGGACGCCGGCCUUGUGGUCCAGCUGCAGGCUCUUACGGCGCAGCUCACGGCAGCGGCCGCAGCGGCCAGCACCCUUAAUCCCCUAGAACAGGGCGUGUCUUUGAACAAGAAGUUGAUGGAUAGGUUUGAUUUUGGGGAAGAUUCUGAGCAUAGUGAAGAACCCAAAAAGGAAAUUCCAGCUUCUCAACUUUCUCAUGUUUCAGAAUCUGUGAACAAUUCCAUCUUUCAUCAGAUAGCAGAACAGCUACAGCAGCAAAAUCUUGAACAUCUCAGACAGCAACUCCUGGAACAGCAACAGCCUCAAAAGGCAACUCCUCAGGAUAGUCAAGAAGGAACAUUUGGGUCAGAGCAUUCCGUGUCACCAUCACAAGGGAGCAGUCAACAGCAUUUCCUUGAACCUGAAGCAAAUUUGGAUGAUUCCAUAGAUAUUCAGCAGCAGGAUAUGGAUAUAGAUGAAGGGCAAGAUGGAGUGGAAGAGGAGAUCUUUGAACAGGAAGCAAAGAAAGUGGCUGUUCGCUCAAGAUCAAGAACGCAUUCACGAUCUCGUUCAAGAUCACCAAGAAAACGAAGGUCUAGGUCACGAUCUGGUUCUCGAAAGCGUAAACACAGAAAGCGAUCACGCUCUCGCUCUAGAGAAAGAAAAAGGAAAUCAUCACGUUCAUACUCAAGUGAAAGAAGAGCUAGAGAAAGGGAGAAAGAACGACAGAAGAAAGGAUUGCCUCCAAUUAGAUCUAAAACAUUAAGUGUAUGUAGUACUACUCUGUGGGUUGGUCAGGUAGACAAGAAGGCGACCCAGCAAGAUUUAACCAACCUGUUUGAAGAGUUUGGACAGAUUGAAUCCAUUAAUAUGAUUCCUCCCAGGGGCUGUGCUUAUGUCUGCAUGGUUCAUCGACAAGAUGCAUUUCGGGCUCUUCAGAAACUUAGUUCCGGGUCAUAUAAAAUUGGGUCCAAGGUCAUUAAGAUUGCUUGGGCUUUAAACAAAGGCGUGAAAACAGAAUACAAACAAUUCUGGGAUGUGGAUCUUGGAGUAACAUACAUACCAUGGGAAAAAGUUAAAGUGGAUGACUUGGAAGGUUUUGCAGAAGGAGGCAUGAUUGAUCAGGAAACUGUAAAUACUGAGUGGGAAAGUGUGAAAAGCUCAGAACCCGUUAAAGAGACGGUCCAGACAACUCAGAGCCCACCUCCAGUUGAAAAGGAGACAGUGGCCACAACCCAGGCAGAGGUCUUCCCGCCGCCUGUUGCUAUGUUACAGAUUCCAGUAGCUCCAGCAGUGCCUACAGUUAGUUUAGUCCCACCAGCCUUUCCUGUGUCAAUGCAAGUUCCUCCUCCUGGAUUCAGUCCAAUUCCUCCACCGCCUUUUCUCCGCGCGAGUUUUAACCCUUCACAACCACCUCCUGGUUUCAUGCCACCUCCAGUUCCACCACCUGUUGUACCACCACCUACUAUUCCACCAGUAGUACCAACAUCUUUAGUGCAGCCGCCAUUAUCUAUGACUCCAGAAACUGUGAAAGAUGUUGGAUUUGGUAGCCUUGUUUUGCCAGGUGGUUCUGUUGCCAGCAGUCUUGCUACUUCCACUCUGCCAGCUGGAAGUGUUUUUAAUCCUCCAACUAAACAAGCAGAGCCUGAAGAAAAAGUACCUCAUCUUAUAGACCACCAGAUUUCUUCUGGUGAAAACACCAGAUCAGUGAUUCCAAAUGAUGUUUCAGGUGGCUCUGCGAUUUUAGGAGGACAGCCGCCAAAUGUGACGAACAAUUCUGGAAUUCUGGGAGUCCAAAGACCAAAUGUAUCAAGUAAUAAUGAAAUUCUUGGAGUCCGGCCAUCUAAUGUUUCCAAUAGUUCUGGGAUUAUUGGAGCCCAGCCACCAAAUAUUCUAAAUAACUCUGGCAUUUUGGGAAUACAGCCACCAAGUGUGUCGAGUAGUUCUGGACUUCUGGGCAUGCUUCCCCCGAAUAUACCUAACAAUUCCGGACUUAUAGGAGUACAGCCACCCGGUGUUCCAAAUACUCCUGGACUUUUGGGAACACAGCCACCAGCUGGGCCUCAAAAUUUACCCCCUUUAAAUCUUUCUAAUCAAAGGAUGCCUGCAAUGCCAAUGUUAGACAUUCGUCCAGGACUAAUACCACAGACACCUGGACCAAGAUUCCCUUUAAUGCAGCCUGGAAUUCCACCUCAGCGGGGACUCCCUCCCCCAGCGGUACUUGAUGCAGCUCUUCAUCCACCACCCCGUGGUCCUUUUGCUCCAGGAGAUAUUUUUAGUCCACCUGAAAGACCUUUUCUAGUUCCUGGAAGACAAAGUGUAGACAAUGUUGCUAAUCCAGAGAAAAGGGUACCACUUGGGAGUGAUAGCGUUCAACAGGAAGGAGAUAGAGAUUACCGGUUUCCUCCCGUAGAAACCAGGGAAACCAUUAGUAGACCUCCCCCGGUGGAUGUUAGGGAUGUGGUUGGACGGCCUGUAGACCCAAGAGAAGGUCCUGGAAGGCCUCCAUUAGAUGGUAGAGAUCAUUUUGGAAGACCUCCUGUAGAUAUUAGAGAGAAUCUGGUGAGGCCAGGCAUAGAUCAUCUUGGUCGAAGAGACCACUUUGGCUUUACUCCAGAGAAGCCCUGGGGGCAUAGAGAUUUUGACGAGAGAGAGCAUCGGGUUCUGCCUGUCUAUGGUGGUCCAAAAGGCUUACAUGAAGAAAGAGGUAGAUUUCGGUCUGGAAACUACCGGUUCGAUCCUAGAAGUGGUCCUUGGAACAGAGGAUUUGGACAAGAAGUUCACAGAGAUUUUGAUGACCGCAGAAGACCCUGGGAGAGGCAAAGGGAUAGGGAUGACAGAGAUUUUGAUUUCUGCAGAGAAAUUAACGGAAAUCGUUUUGGACGAGAGAGAAUUCAAAACACCUGGGUCCCCCCUCCUCAUGCUCGGGUUUUUGAUUUUUUUGAAGGGGCCACUUCUCAGCGAAAAGGUGAUAAUGUGCCUCAGGUUAAUGGUGAAAACACCGAGAGACAUGCUCAUCCACCACCUUUACCAGCGCAGAGUGAUCCUGAACUUUAUGAAAAACUGACAUCUUCAAGUGAAAUAAACAAGGAGAAGAGUGACACAGUUGCUGAUAUAGAGAGUGAACCAGUGGUAGAAAGCACAGAAACUGAGGGGACAUAAUCAUCACUCAGUAGGACAGAAUGACUCGGAAGAUAAUGGAGCUUCGAAGUCUAGCAGAAUAUGAAGUCCUUCCUCUUCGUGGACCUCGUUUAAAUUUAAGGGGAAGAAGCCGAGCAGCCUGAGACAGUGAGGCAGUUAUCAGUCGCCAGCUCCUGGAUGACAGAGGAGAGGAGAAAGGAGAUUUUCAGAGCCCAGUUAUGUUAGACAUAUUAACAGAGGAAUCUAACAUGACAGAAGAAAAAAAAGGAGGAGAUUCUUGCCCCCGAGGGCAAAGCGUUCAGUUGCCACAGCACUGAACGGGGCUUUGCAAAAGGAGCUGGUAGACAGAUGCGCUAACAGCAGGUCUCCGCCACUGCCCGUCAAUCGCCCCUCUGUUCAGCUUGCCCCUGGGAUGAUGCUGGAGAGACACAAAAGUACCUCUAGCACUUCCUCAGGAUGGCUUGUUUCUCAUGACCUCAUCACAGUGAAAAGAAGAUGGAUUUCUCAACCACUUCCUCCUGCAGUAGGAGUUUGAAAAGUGCCGUGAAGUAGAUCGUGCAAGCUCCUGAAACAGCCGCUGAAAGAACCGUUUGUAUUCCGCCAAUGAUCUUCAGAAAGGAGAGGUGCAGCCUGCCUUGAAAAGGCUAUCCUCUGACUUCUCCACAGUUAGCCUGACCCACUGGCAGAGAUGCCUGCCUACGCUGGGCUGGAGUCAGCGUGGUCUUUGUCUGUUUAUUGGAUCCUGGGGCACUGGGCGCGAGGCUGCAUUGAGCCUGUUAGUUUGGGGCAUGAAGUAACAGAAGAGCACUUGGUGGAAGCAGCCGUCGCUGGGACCCUCCUUCUCGCCCAAACAAGCUGUAAAAGUGAAUUUGAGCUCCGUGGAGAUAGGUAUUAAACGCAGUCAUUCUUGACUGGUACUCCAGUGUGUGUGUGUGUGUGUGUGUGUGUGUGUGUGUGUGUGUGUGUGUGUGUGUGUGUGUGUAAUGUCAUUUCUGGCGGGGCCCGGGCUGAGGCAGAGAGUUUACUUGGCAAGAAGAUUCUCUUUCCUCAGGUUGUGGGAAAGAGAAAAGAGAACAAAACCCCCCACAACUUCCAAAACAAACGGGAAACUUCCAAAAACUAGAAAGGUGUUUUAAGAAAACUCUUUCUGGCAUAGUACAGAGGAAGGAUGUCUUGUUUUUUGAAGUGUCCUACUACCAGAAAGUCCAACAAAAUACUGCCCAGUACUGGAAAGAUUGUGCAAAUGAAUUUCAAUUCUGCUAACAUUGCUAGAUACCCUCUAGGUGCCAGAAAAUGUACGAAGUUACUGGGGAUAAAAAGAUGAAUUGGGCUGAUCCCUGACUUCAAGGAAUUUAGAUUUGGGUAAUUUAAGUAUGAAGAGUCUGCAAGAGAAUAUGACAGAAUGGUUAUUUCUAGGGAGGGGGGUUACAGCUAAUAUUUAACUUUUUGGUAAAUACUAGGAUACUGUAGCUAAAGAGUUUUGGUGGCUAUGAAGUGAGUGGACGGUGAUGACACUGGGGCCGCCUCUUUUAAAAACAGGCUGUUCUGGUCUCUGCCAGGGGUGGAGAUUUAUCUUUGAGAGUAGGUUUGCUUUAAUUGGGCCCUUGGUUAUUCUACAGGGAAGCGACCCUGCUUUAUAAUGAAGAUGACCCAGCAUAACUUCCUGAUGGUCCCCCAGCCCCCUGGCUCCUCCCCCUCAGCUUUCUUUGCUGAUCCGACCCCAUCUCGCAAGAGUUCUGUCUCUUUCCCAGUCUUUCCCGCAGGCAUCUCAGCCAGGCCCUGGGUGAGACAGGAUUACUCCGGGCUGGUUAUUUCUCUGUC
Balaenoptera musculus (blue whale) is the source of this 6919-nucleotide RNA transcript. It is a transcript of the gene named SR-related CTD associated factor 8, with no coding region annotated. Lineage: Eukaryota; Metazoa; Chordata; Mammalia; Artiodactyla; Balaenopteridae. The transcript has 24 exons. The record is from RefSeq and is a predicted model, not a curated record.